AGGGUUUGAUCAUGGCUCAGAACGUACGCUGGCGGCACGCCUAACACAUGCAAGUCGAACGAAGUAGCAAUACUUAGUGGCAGACGGGUGAGUAACAUGUGGGUAUCUGCCCUUUGGCCUGGAAUAACACGAGGAAACUUGUGCUAAUACCGGAUAAGUCUUUACGGAGAAAGCUUUAUGCACCAUUGGAUGAGCCCGCACUUGAUUAGUUUGUUGGUGGGGUAAUGGCCUACCAAGACUGUGAUCAAUAGCUGAUUUGAGAGGAUGAUCAGCCACAUUGGGACUGAGACACGGCCCAAACUCCUACGGGAGGCAGCAGUGGGGAAUCUUGCACAAUGGAGGAAACUCUGAUGCAGCGAUGCCGCGUGAGUGAAGAAGGCCCUUGGGUUGUAAAGCUCUUUCGUCGGGGAAGAAAAUGACUGUACCCGAAUAAGAAGGUCCGGCUAACUUCGUGCCAGCAGCCGCGGUAAUACGAAGGGACCUAGCGUAGUUCGGAAUUACUGGGCUUAAAGAGUUCGUAGGUGGUUGAAAAAGUUAGUGGUGAAAUCCCAGAGCUUAACUCUGGAACUGCCAUUAAAACUUUUCAGCUAGAGUAUGAUAGAGGAAAGCAGAAUUUCUAGUGUAGAGGUGAAAUUCGUAGAUAUUAGAAAGAAUACCAAUUGCGAAGGCAGCUUUCUGGAUCAUUACUGACACUGAGGAACGAAAGCAUGGGUAGCGAAGAGGAUUAGAUACCCUCGUAGUCCAUGCCGUAAACGAUGUGUGUUAGACGUUGGAAAUUUAUUUUCAGUGUCGCAGCGAAAGCGAUAAACACACCGCCUGGGGAGUACGACCGCAAGGUUAAAACUCAAAUGAAUUGACGGGGACCCGCACAAGUAGUGGAGCAUGUGGUUUAAUUCGAAGAUACGCGCAGAACCUUACCAACACUUGACAUGUUCGUCGCGACUCUAAGAGAUUAGAGUUUUCGGUUCGGCCGGACGAAACACAGGUGCUGCAUGGCUGUCGUCAGCUCGUGUCGUGAGAUGUUGGGUUAAGUCCCGCAACGAGCGCAACCCUCACUUUUAGUUGCCAUCAUUAAGUUGGGCACUCUGAAAGAACUGCCAGUGAUAAGCUGGAGGAAGGUGGGGAUGACGUCAAGUCCUCAUGGCCCUUACGUGUUGGGCUACACACGUGCUACAAUGGUAUCUACAACAGGAAGCAAGACUGCGAGGUCAAGCAAAUCCUUAAAAGAUACCUCAGUUCGGAUUGCACUCUGCAACUCGAGUGCAUGAAGCUGGAAUUACUAGUAAUCGUGGAUCAGCGUGCCACGGUGAAUGCGUUCCCGGGUCUUGUACACACCGCCCGUCACACCAUGGGAGUUGGUUCUACCUUAAGGCAAGGUUUCAAACCCUUGACCACGGUAUAGUCAGCGACUGGGGU
Molecule: ribosomal RNA, 1416 nt
Filed under: uncultured bacterium
Lineage: Bacteria
Description: bacterial SSU rRNA
Rfam family: Bacterial small subunit ribosomal RNA
Source: RNAcentral